UUUAUUAGAGAGGCAGCUGGAGGGGAUAUCCUUUAUUAGAGAGGCAGUUGGAGGGGAUAUCCUUUAUUAGAGAGACAGUUGGAGGGUAUAUACGUUUUAAGAGAGGCAGUUGGAGGGGAUAUGCUUUAUUAGAGAGACAGUUGGAGGGGAUAUCCUUUAUUAGAGAGGCAGCUGGAGGGGAUAUCCUUUAUUAGAGAGACAGUUGGAGGGGAUAUCCUUUAUUAGAGAGGCAGUUGGAGGGGAUAUCCUUUAUUAGAGAG
Molecule: non-coding RNA, 260 nt
Organism: Pelobates cultripes (western spadefoot toad)
Lineage: Eukaryota; Metazoa; Chordata; Amphibia; Anura; Pelobatidae
Source: the annotation of a GenBank genome assembly